Molecule: ribosomal RNA, 390 nt
Filed under: uncultured bacterium
Lineage: Bacteria
Description: bacterial SSU rRNA
Rfam family: Bacterial small subunit ribosomal RNA
Source: RNAcentral
GACGAACGCUGGCGGCGUGCUUAACACAUGCAAGUCGAGCGGUAAGGCCCUUUCGGGGGUACACGAGCGGCGAACGGGUGAGUAACACGUGGGUGACCUGCCCUCAGCUCUGGGAUAAGCCUGGGAAACCGGGUCUAGUACUGGAUAUGACUCCAUGACGCAUGUUGUGGGGUGGAAAGCCUUGUGCGGCUGAGGAUGGGCCCGCGGCCUAUCAGCUUGUUGGUGGGGUGANGGCCUACCAAGGCGACGACGGGUAGCCGGCCUGAGAGGGCGAUCGGCCACACUGGGACUGAGACACGGCCCAGACUCCUACGGGAGGCAGCAGUGGGGAAUCUUGCGCAAUGGGCGAAAGCCUGACGCAGCGACGCCGCGUGAGGGAUGACGGCCUGG